AGGAUUGGGAUAAACAAUUGCAAAAUAAGGUAGGAGAAACCAAGGCCCUGGAGAAACGACGAUUAUUGUUAUAUAAAUGUUGUGUGUUGAUGUCUGAAGUGCUUAAGUAUUAAUUGGCAUUGCUAGUCGGCUAUUGUUUAUCUUGAUUCCAGCAUCUUGGCCUCACAGUUCUCCACGAAGAGUCAGACAUGGGUGGCUGGAAGCUGGAGAUUUUCAAGAUGGGCAUGUACAUGACGUUCCCGGUCGGCCUUUUUUGGUACUUCAACCAGCCAGAGUACUUUGAGAAGUGGGUCAUUCAGACCAAGCAGCAGCUAUAUCCUCCGGCCAACAGGGACCACAGAAACGAACUAGAGGCAUUCAAAAAGGAAUAUCACCACAAAAAGACAGAAGAAUUUGAAAAACAGCUUUUAGAAGCUGACAAACACUGAGGUGUGUUGAAUGUGAGCUAUGUGCUGCGAUUUCUGAGUCCCUUCUCCACCUGUACCGCGCGGAAGGUGAGAUACCUGAGCUGUCAGUCCGCUUCCGCUACCACUUCCGCCAGCGAUACGGGAUGUGAUAGCGAUACCGUCAGGGUAGUGCAGUGCGUGCGUUUGGGAAGCCGAGUGUGCUCGUAGGAGUGAUAGCAGAUUGCGAGCUAGUGUGAAGUUGCUACUGGUUUUUUGGUGUUCUGGUACACAGAUACGUGACGUUGUGAGUGAUUUGUCCAGGUGUGUGUUGACUGUUCUCCGGAAGGCGGCUGUGUGCCGACGUGCGUGCUUGCGUGGCCCCACCCGCCGGAAGUGUGACGCGUGCGCAGCAUCACGAAGCGCCGCGGCUUUUUGCGGAGUCAGCUCACGUCAUGUGUAAACCAACCGCUCGAAGCAGCUCCCUUGGUCACGCCUCUGGCCACGUCACGGCUCACUCACUACGACAGUGUUCGGAAUCUAUGAGAUGUACGGUUGUACCCUGACGCAUCGUUUCGUUCAGUGAACACCGAUCGGCGUGCGUGCCGUUCUUCAAGUGGAGCUUCUGUCGGUGGUGACCGAUACAAGACGGUCACGGCCGAGCGGCCGCCCAAUGUCGCCCCUCUCAUUGGCUGACGGGCAGGAUGGUGACGUAGGCAGUGACGUAGUAAGGGAUUGCCUGACUUAAACACAAUCCGCCUGCCGUUUAAUAGUCUGCCGGGCUGAUGUAAGAGGUGCAAUGUCAUGGUGUGUGUUUGAAGAGGAGAACAUCCGGCAGUUCGAGGGAGAGGAUGGGUUAAACCACUUUCGUCUAGUGGUUUCAUUAGUUUGUUACACUUCCGCGGAAGGAGAACAUCCGGCAGUUUGGGGAGAGAAUGUGUGCAACAGGCCCAGCUGUGUAAAAAAUCGCUGCCCCUGCCACGUUGUUGUUGUACGUUAUCCAUGUUACAGACAAUGCAGGAGGGUCGUCCUCCGUUCGGCAACCGCAAUUUGUAAUUUUGGUCUGAUUAGAUCAAUAUGGCUUAUUUGUGCAUAAUUCGUUGUGUAAAAUACACGUUGCGAAUUUGU
Long non-coding RNA from Amphibalanus amphitrite, 1511 nucleotides. RefSeq lists it as uncharacterized. The record is from RefSeq and is a predicted model, not a curated record. The transcript has 3 exons. Lineage: Eukaryota; Metazoa; Arthropoda; Thecostraca; Balanomorpha; Balanidae.